UAAUUCCUGGGGCGUGCGAGAACCUCACUUAUUUUGAUCCUACAUUUCAUCGACGGGAUUCCUAUAUCUCCAUUCUAAUGUCGGGCCUCCUCUGAGUGGAUGGCAGCGGUAUGGAUGCGGUAACCCACCUAGCAUUGCUAGGAGUCGAAAACGUGGGGAACGGCGCUUUGGGAUAAUU
This is a non-coding RNA of Eubacterium sp. CAG:76, 178 nucleotides long. The record is from Rfam. Lineage: Bacteria; Bacillati; Bacillota; Clostridia; Eubacteriales; Eubacteriaceae.